RNAcentral lists this ribosomal RNA (481 nucleotides) under uncultured bacterium. Its description in RNAcentral is "partial 16S ribosomal RNA". It matches the Rfam family "Bacterial small subunit ribosomal RNA", at positions 28 to 507 of the family's 1533-position model. The record is from RNAcentral.
GAUGAACGCUGGCGGCGUGCUUAACACAUGCAAGUCGAACGAAGCACUUUAUUUGAUUUCCUUCGGGACUGAUUAUUUUGUGACUGAGUGGCGGACGGGUGAGUAACGCGUGGGUAACCUGCCUUGUACAGGGGGAUAACAGUUGGAAACGGCUGCUAAUACCGCAUAAGCGCACAGCAUCGCAUGAUGCAGUGUGAAAAACUCCGGUGGUAUAAGAUGGACCCGCGUUGGAUUAGCUAGUUGGUGAGGUAACGGCCCACCAAGGCGACGAUCCAUAGCCGACCGGAGAGGGUGACCGGCCACAUUGGGACUGAGACACGGCCCAAACUCCUACGGGAGGCAGCAGUGGGGAAUAUUGCACAAUGGGCGAAAGCCUGAUGCAGCGACGCCGCGUGAGCGAAGAAGUAUUUCGGUAUGUAAAGCUCUAUCAGCAGGGAAGAUAAUGACGGUACCUGACGAAGAAGCACCGGCUAAAUACGUG